This 96-nucleotide small RNA is filed under the name Salmonella enterica. Its description in RNAcentral is "partial RtT sRNA". It matches the Rfam family "RtT RNA", at positions 41 to 130 of the family's 130-position model. From Rfam's summary of the family: This family represents a bacterial cis-regulatory element known as RtT RNA. The exact function of RtT is unknown although it is thought that it may be involved in changing the cellular response in relation to amino acid starvation. The record is from RNAcentral. RNAcentral also lists the same sequence under 1 other name. Lineage: Bacteria; Pseudomonadati; Pseudomonadota; Gammaproteobacteria; Enterobacterales; Enterobacteriaceae.
GUUCGGUGGAAACGAGAAUAAAACGUGAAGGAUAACGUUGCGUCAGCAACGGCCCGUAGGGCGAGGCAAAGCCGAGUCAUCCUGCACGACCCACCA